GUUUUACUUCAGCAGCACAUACACUAAAAUUGGAACAAUACAGAGAUUAGCAUGCCCUCUAUGCAAAGAAUGACAUAUAAAUUUAUGAAAUUUUCUAUAUUUUU
This is a small nuclear RNA of Peromyscus eremicus (cactus mouse), 104 nucleotides long. The record is from RefSeq and is a predicted model, not a curated record. Lineage: Eukaryota; Metazoa; Chordata; Mammalia; Rodentia; Cricetidae.